UACGGGGGGGGCAAGCGUCGUUCGGAUUUACUGGGCGUAAAGGGCGCGUAGGCGGCGCAACAAGUCACUUGUGAAAUCUCCGGGCUUAACCCGGAGCGGUCAAGUGAUACUGUCGUGCUAGAGUGCGGAAGGGGCUACUGGAAUUCUCGGUGUAGCGGUGAAAUGCGUAGAUAUCGAGAGGAACACCUGCGGCGAAGGCGGGUAGCUGGGCCGACACUGACGCUGAUGCGCGAAAGCCAGGGGAGCGAACGGG
This 253-nucleotide ribosomal RNA is filed under the name uncultured bacterium. Its description in RNAcentral is "partial 16S ribosomal RNA". It matches the Rfam family "Bacterial small subunit ribosomal RNA", at positions 524 to 776 of the family's 1533-position model. The record is from RNAcentral.